Molecule: ribosomal RNA, 497 nt
Filed under: uncultured bacterium
Lineage: Bacteria
Description: partial 16S ribosomal RNA
Rfam family: Bacterial small subunit ribosomal RNA
Source: RNAcentral
GAUGAACGCUGGCGGCGUGCCUAAUACAUGCAAGUCGAGCGAACAGACCCGGAGCUUGCUCCUCUGACGUUAGCCGCGGACGUGAGAGUAACACGAGGAUCACCUACCUAUCUGACUGGUAUCACUUCGGGAAACUGGCGCUAAUACCAUAUAAGAUCUUGAUCCGCAUUGUUCAACAGUUAAAGUCGGUCUUGCUGUCACUUCUCGCUGUCUCCGCGCCGCAUUAGCGAGUUGGUAAGGUAAAGGCUUACCAAGGCAACGCUGCGUAGCCGACCUGAGAGGGUGGUCGGCCAAACUGGAAGUGAGACCAGGUACAGACGCCUAGGGGAGGCAGCAGUAGGGAAUCGUCAGAAAUGGGCGGAAGACUGACGGAGAAACGCGGAGGGAGUGAGGAAGGUCUUCGGAUGGGAAAACACUGUUAUUGGGGAAGAACACAUGUGUAAGUAACUAGGCGCGUCUGGAAGGUAAAUGAGCAGAAAGCCACGGCUAAAUAAGUG